CCUACGGGACGCAGCAGUGAGGAAUAUUGGUCAAUGGGCGGGAGCCUGAACCAGCCAAGUCGCGUGAGGGAAGACGGUCCUAUGGAUUGUAAACCUCUUUUGUCGGGGAGCAAAGAGAUCACGUGUGGUCAAAAGCGAGAGUACCCGAAGAAAAAGCAUCGGCUAACUCCGUGCCAGCAGCCGCGGUAAUACGGAGGAUGCGAGCGUUAUCCGGAUUUAUUGGGUUUAAAGGGUGCGUAGGCGGAUUUUUAAGUCAGCGGUAAAAUGUCCGGGCUCAACCCGGGCCGGCCGUUGAAACUGGGGAU
Molecule: ribosomal RNA, 305 nt
Filed under: uncultured bacterium
Lineage: Bacteria
Description: bacterial SSU rRNA
Rfam family: Bacterial small subunit ribosomal RNA
Source: RNAcentral